Canis lupus familiaris (dog) is the source of this 1418-nucleotide long non-coding RNA. RefSeq lists it as uncharacterized. The transcript has 3 exons. The record is from RefSeq and is a predicted model, not a curated record. NCBI's taxonomy places the organism in Eukaryota, Metazoa, Chordata, Mammalia, Carnivora, Canidae.
UGGGCGCUGCUGCGUCGGGGAGCCCGCUUUGCUCAACGACGGCAGCACAGCGACGACCAAAGCGGUCCCCAAGCCCUGCUCCCGGGGCUCCGGGUGCACGGCAGCACGUGCGUCCCUGUCGUCAGCCCUCUGCAGGUCGAACCUUAUUGCAUCCUCUGGGAAGUCCUGUGCGUUUCAGACGGCAUGCGUGUGAGAGAGCGUGAGUUUGCCUCCCGCAAGUCCUCGCCGUGAGCUCCUGCCCCGCCUGGGCGGAGAGGGCAGAGUCUGGGAGCCCCUAGGCCUGCAGGACCCAGGUCGACUUGGAGACGCUGCCCACCUGCUAUUGGGAGGAUCCUCUUCUCUGCGGAAGGACACCCGUGGGCGUGCAAGAGACAGCACCCUCCUCGGCUCUGCAAAGUCAGCGGGAGCCCCGAGUCCUCCCGAGGCGGGUCAUUCUGCCCCUGGACCCUGUAACCAUGCUCCUAAACUACUCAGAAUCCUUGGCAGGGCCAUGCCAGUCCCCCUUGAGAGCAGCUGAGAGCACUUCCUGGAAGACAGAUUGGACAGAGCAUCUGCGGCUUCAGCACGACACACUGUUAUUGAUGUGACAAUCCCGGAGGGGCGGCCGCGGAGAAGCACAUCGGACGUACUCCAAAUUCAUAAACAAAAGUGCUCUGAUGUGAUGCUUCCUACGUGUAGCUGCCGUUCUUAGCUCCAGGCCCCCCAGGCCCCUGCCAUGGGAGCUGGUGACAGGUGGCUCAUUGUCACCCUUGCGUUUCCCUGUGUUGGAAGUGCACCCUGGCCCCUGGGAAGAUGGGCCCUGUGGGGACCCAGGGUUCAUUGUCUGGGCCAAAGGAAAUGCUGCAAGGGCUGCCGGACCCCUGGCCUGCCUGCUGUACAAUCCCGGCCUUGCCGCCACUGUGUCCCCACACCCCAACUCAGCCUGCACACUCCAGACCUCAUGGGGCCUGCGCCCUGCCACCUCCCUCAGCUGUUGGCUCUGGGUGGGUUCAGACAACGGAGAGGCAGGUGGAAGAUGGGAUAGUCGGCGGAAGGGAGAAGCCAGGGUGCGUUUCCCUGUCUGACCCGAGAGGCAUCCUGGCAGACAGAGGUCUCCUCCAGAGUCUGGUAAACGGUCCCCCUUUUGUUCCAUCUGCUUCCAGAAUGGUGGUGGCUUCCAGCUACUGCAAUUUCUAGUGUGCCUCUAGCGGUCACCCACUUGGUUUACCUGCUCUUCCACCCUUAAGACCUCCCUCGUUUUAGAUACGAUCGAGUGUUUUCUGCUGUUCCGGCUGGAACCUGGUUCCAGUCCCCAUCCUAGGUCAGGGAUCCAUUAUCUUUUUUGUGCCAUGGAUCACUUUGGCUCUUUGCUGGAGCCUGAGGACUGCUUCUUGGGAGAAAGUUUUUCAGGGACGCCUGGGUGGCUCAGUAGUUGAGCG